GAUGAUAAUCCCAAGCCUUCAGGCGUUCUGUUCAUCAAAUUUCGAAAACGUUAAAAAAAUAUUCAAGAACGUUUAAGAAAACAUUUGAAAGCGUUUAAAAAACAGAGGAGUGUUUAAGAAAUAUAUAUGUUUCUUAAACAUAUCUUGUAUUUGUCCCGAGGAAGGUUUUUACCGAUUUACUCCUGAGGGCUUGUAGCUCAGUUGGUUAGAGCGCGCGCUUGAUAAGCGUGAGGUCGGAGGUUCAAGUCCUCCCAGGCCCACCAGUUUAUGAUUGCUAAUAAAGUUUUUGCGAAUGUUUUGGUGGUUUUUGAUCUUGCAAUCUUUCAUUUUUAUGCUGCAAUCUUUCAAAAGUAUUUGGACUGUUUUAGGGGCCGUAGCUCAGCUGGGAGAGCACCUGCUUUGCAAGCAGGGGGUCGUCGGUUCGAUCCCGUCCGGCUCCACCAUCUUUAGUCAUCAUCAUCGCUAAAGGACAAUAUUUGCAAUAGAUCUAUAGAUCUUAAGUCUAUCAUUUAUUGCCUGUUCUGUUGAAAUCGUGAAGAG
This 540-nucleotide transfer RNA is filed under the name Bartonella sp. TR-77. Its description in RNAcentral is "partial 16S-23S ribosomal RNA intergenic spacer". The stretch from base 187 to 260 matches the Rfam family "tRNA". Lineage: Bacteria; Pseudomonadati; Pseudomonadota; Alphaproteobacteria; Hyphomicrobiales; Bartonellaceae. The record is from RNAcentral.